GACGAACGCUGGCGGCGUGCUUAACACAUGCAAGUCGAACGAGAGCGUAGAGAAAGCUUGCUUUUUCUACAAUCUAGUGGCAAACGGGUGAGUAACGCGUAAACAACCUGCCCUACGGAUGGGGACAACAGCUGGAAACGGCUGCUAAUACCGAAUACGUUCCGAAAGUCGCAUGACUAUCGGAAGAAAGGAUGGCCUCUAUUUAUAAGCUAUCGCCGGAGGAGGGGUUUGCGUCUGAUUAGCUAGUUGGAGGGGUAACGGCCCACCAAGGCGACGAUCAGGAGCCGGUCUGAGAGGAUGAACGGCCACAUUGGAACUGAGACACGGUCCAGACUCCUACGGGAGGCAGCAGUGGGGAAUCUUCCGCAAGGGGCGAAAGCCUGGCGGAGCAACGCCGCGUGAGUGAAGACGGCCUUCGGGUUGUAAAGCUCUGUUAUACGGGACGAAUAAUCUUGUGGUUAAUACCCAUGAGAAGUGACGGUACCGUAAGAGAAAGCCACGGCUAACUACGUG
This 513-nucleotide ribosomal RNA is filed under the name uncultured bacterium. Its description in RNAcentral is "partial 16S ribosomal RNA". It matches the Rfam family "Bacterial small subunit ribosomal RNA", at positions 28 to 507 of the family's 1533-position model. The record is from RNAcentral.